AUCAGAAACGUUGGCAUUGCUAGGUGGGAAAAUCUUCUUCUAAAAAUCUUAUGACGUUUGUGUCAGAAAUGAGUCAGAAAGAUGUCUAGAAAGAAGAAAACAAGAACAAGAAAACACAAAUAAACAGCAGAGUGUAGAACCAUAGAUGUUGAGGAUGCCUGCUGGGGUAUCCUGGCCUCAAUAUUUAACUUUCUUUGCAGUCAGUUCAGCAACUUGCCUGACAGGAAGUCAGGUGGUGCACUUGUACUACAGACCAAAUCUGGAAAUUCCAGAUGUACCCCCUGAUCCAAAGGACUUUCUAGAACAAACAGAAUGGAGAAAACAUAUUUCCAUAAAAAGAAACUAGUUGUGAAUACAAUUCAAUUGAAAAAGAUUGAAUUAGUUGAUGAUAAG
This is a non-coding RNA of Pocillopora verrucosa, 393 nucleotides long. The record is from RefSeq and is a predicted model, not a curated record. Lineage: Eukaryota; Metazoa; Cnidaria; Anthozoa; Scleractinia; Pocilloporidae.